RNAcentral lists this ribosomal RNA (360 nucleotides) under uncultured bacterium. RNAcentral's name for it is "bacterial SSU rRNA". It matches the Rfam family "Bacterial small subunit ribosomal RNA", at positions 28 to 386 of the family's 1533-position model. The record is from RNAcentral.
GAUGAACGCUGGCGGCGUGCAUAACACAUUCAAGUCGAACGGUGAGGAGGACUUCGGUCCUCUGAGCAGUGGCGGACGGGUGAGUAACGCGUGAGCAACCUGCCUGCUAAAGAGGGAUAACACAGGGAAACUUGUGCUAAUACCGCAUGACGCAUACUGACCGCAUGGUUGGUAUGCCAAAGGGAAACCGAUAGCAGAUGGGCUCGCGUUGGAUUAGAUAGUUGGCGGGGCAACGGGCCCACCAAGUCGACGAUCCCAUAGCCGAACUGAGAGGUUGAACGGGCCACAUUGGAACUGAGAAACGUCCAGACUCCUACGGGAGGCAGCAGUGGGAAUAUUGGGCAAUGGGCGAAAGCCUGA